UGUUGGUGACAGAGACAAGCUUUCGAGCUUACACAGAGCUCUUCUUCAGGUCUGGGAAAGGCACUCCCAGCAUCACAGCAAAAUGCAAGGUAAUAACGGAUCCUUGAGAGAGGAGUUUCAGAAUGUUUCCACUUCGGCAGGUCCUUGCCAUUAAAGGGAAGAUCCUGCAUCACAGACUGCGCUUCCGUGAAGAGCCCAGACAGCAGUAGCCACGACACCCUGCGCAUGGACACCACCGAGGCCAUGGACCAAGCAGCCAUGUCAGCUGCAUCCGAUGCUGCCUGCAGAGCAGCCUUUGCAGCAGCAGUACCCUCCUCCACGAGCGCUUUAAAUUCCUUCCUUUCAAGCUCCGGAAGGGAGGGUUAGAAUUUCGGCAGUGACCCCCACAAGUUAAACUCAUAACGACUGAGGAG
Long non-coding RNA from Malaclemys terrapin pileata, 413 nucleotides. RefSeq lists it as uncharacterized. The transcript has 3 exons. The record is from RefSeq and is a predicted model, not a curated record. NCBI's taxonomy places the organism in Eukaryota, Metazoa, Chordata, Testudines, Emydidae.